CAGAGAGAGUAGCGCAGCACCCCACCCCCACCACCAACUGGCAAUGGCAUAGAGUCAGUGACCUCACUUGCCUUUUCCUUUUUCGCUAUACUUUUUUCCUUGUCUCUUUUCACCUUUCCUAUCUUCCUUUCUCAAAUCUCAUCAGCUACUUUUCUUUAUUUCUCUCUCGUAGUAUCUAAAAAACCCCCUACUUUUUGCUUAAAAACCCAGAUAUGAACUAGGGUUUGUUGCCAAUGCAAAGAGCUUGAUUCUUCACAUUUCCCUUGAGAAUGCAAGUAAUGGGCGAAAUGGGGAAGAAUGUGUUGGUUUUGUGUUUUAUUUUGCUAUUGUUUUUUGGAGGUGUCACUUCAGCUCCUACUACUACUUCACCAGCAAAGAUUGUUAGUGGGGUUUUCUCAAAUGUCGUGCCUGCUUUCAUGAAGUGGCUAUGGUCUAUGAAAUCCACCACCAAAACAGUGAUCUCUGGUCGUCCAAUGAUGAAGUUUGAGAGCGGGUAUACCGUGGAGACAGUGUUUGAUGGAAGCAAGCUCGGGAUUGAGCCUUACUCCGUGCAGGUGUUGCCCAGUGGAGAGCUUCUGAUUCUGGACUCUGUUAACAGUAACAUUUACAGGAUGUCUUCUUCCCUGUCUCUCUACAGCAGACCUAAGCUGGUAGCUGGAUCCCAUGAAGGAUACUCUGGACAUGUGGAUGGAAAGUUGAGAGAGGCAAAGAUGAACCACCCAAAAGGGCUUACUGUAGAUGACAGAGGAAACAUUUAUAUUGCAGACACCAUGAAUAUGGCAAUCAGGAAGAUAAGUGAUGCAGGGGUUACAACAAUUGCUGGAGGGAAAUGGGGCCGAGGGAGCCAUGUUGAUGGGGCAAGUGAAGAUGCGAAGUUUUCUAAUGAUUUUGACGUGCUUUACAUUGGAAGCAGUUGCUCCCUACUUGUUAUAGACAGAGGAAACCAAGCCAUCAGAGAGAUCCAGCUGCAUUUUGAUGACUGUGCUUAUCAAUAUGGAAGUGGUUUUCCGCUUGGAAUUGCAGUGCUGCUAGCAGCUGGCUUCUUCGGUUACAUGCUAGCAUUGCUGCAACGCAGGGUGGGAAUGAUUGUUUCUCCUCAGAAUGUUGCAAUGGAAACUAGCACUACAGGAAAUCCUUAUCAGAAGCCUAUCAAAUCAUUCAGGCCACCUUUAAUCCCAACAGAAGAUGAACAGGAGAAGCAUGAGGAAGGCUUAUUCGGAUCCCUUGGCAAGCUUUUCAUCAACACUUGGGCAUCUAUUGCAGAAAUUUUGGGAGGCAUAGUUCCCAGUUUCAGAAAGAAGCCACCAAGCUAUCAGUAUCAAAACUACCAGCAGCAAUCAACUUCUUGGCCUGUGCAAGACAGCUUUGUGAUACCAGAUGAAGACGAGCCGCCUUCGACUGAAACCAGAACCCCAACGCCUAGGAAAACCUAUCCAUUCAUGUCAAAGGAUACAGAAAAGAUGCAUCAAUGGCGGCAAAGUCGUUCUAUCUAUAGUGGGUGGGAUGGAGAUUUUCAGCAGCAGCAGCAGCAGAAACAGCAGUAUCAUCAUCGGUAUCAAUCCUCUACCCCACAUACUUACUAUGAGCAAAGCUACGAGAAAACCAAUGAGAUUGUGUUUGGGGCAGUUCAAGAGCAGGAUGUGAAGCAUGGAACUACGGUGAUAUUGCCUGUAAAUUAUGGAGAUCCGAUACACAACCGCCACAACAUCCGCUCUCGAACCAAUUCUCUGCAUUAAACAAAUGGGUAUUGAAUAUGUGACAAUAUGCAGAGAUUUUGGAGGCUUCGGGAUAUACUCGAUGUCAGGAUUUAUUCUUAGAGAAUGGAGGUUUUUUGGGAGCCGCUUACUGCUUUUUAGGGUUCACUCGGUCUGGUAAAAAUAAUAUAGUUGCAUUACAUGGUGCUUUGAUAAAAAUUGGUCUUAAGAAGUUAUGAAGAUGCCUUGUUCUCUGAUUCUAUGUGUAUCGAAUGCGUGGUUGACAAUGAUUUGGUGAAGGCCCUUUGGACAGAAAUUAAUGAGCCAACCUGUUGUUCCAUAACAAGAAGCCAAUUAGAGUCCAAAUUCCCCAACUUCAUGUUCAUGGGCAAGCAUCACCUGCUCUCUUGCUAAAGUAGACGAAGAAGAAGAAACAAGGAUUUUGAUAUUUCUUAACUAUAUUCUUCGAUAAUUCUCCAACUUCAUGUUCAUGGCAAGCAUCGUGAAGAUAUUGAUAAUCUGCUCUCAAACUUUUAUGCUUC
RNA transcript from Populus trichocarpa (black cottonwood), 2236 nucleotides. RefSeq lists it as uncharacterized. The record is from RefSeq and is a predicted model, not a curated record. Lineage: Eukaryota; Viridiplantae; Streptophyta; Magnoliopsida; Malpighiales; Salicaceae. The transcript is spliced from 8 exons.